GACGAACGCUGGCGGCGUGCUUAACACAUGCAAGUCGAACGAAGUGGCGAACGGGUGAGUCACGCGUAAUCAACCUGCCCUUCAGAGGGGGACCACAGUUGGAAACGACGGCUAAUACCGCAUACUGCAGUGGGGGAUCGCUUCGGAUUCGCUAGUUGGAGGGGUAAGGGCCCACAAAGGCGAUGCACAGUAGCCGGUCGGAGAGUUUGCACGGCCACAUUGGGACUGAGACACGGCCCAGACUCCUACGGGAGGCAGCAGUGGGGAAUCUUCCGCAAUGGACGAAAGUCUGACGGAGCAACGCCGCGUGAGUGAUGACGGCCUUCGGGUUGUAAGGCUCUGUUAAUCGGGACGCGGUACCGGAAUAGAAAGCCACGGAUAACUACGUGCCAGCCGCCGCGGUAAUAC
This 408-nucleotide ribosomal RNA is filed under the name uncultured bacterium. RNAcentral describes it as "partial 16S ribosomal RNA". It matches the Rfam family "Bacterial small subunit ribosomal RNA", at positions 28 to 526 of the family's 1533-position model. The record is from RNAcentral.